This 581-nucleotide long non-coding RNA is filed under the name Zonotrichia albicollis (white-throated sparrow). Its description in RNAcentral is "lncRNA (ENSZALG00000012574.1)". Lineage: Eukaryota; Metazoa; Chordata; Aves; Passeriformes; Passerellidae. The record is from RNAcentral.
GUGCUGCGUGACCCCCUCGGCCAGCCCCGGGGCUGCGGGGGCUCAGUGCUGCCUCUUCCGCAGGCUGCCCCUGGAGUGCAGCCACAUCCAGCUGCUGGAGGGUGGCAGCUCCAGGGCCACCAGCUUCUCCAUCCAGCUGUUCCAGAUGCUGAACCACUCCGUGGCCUACCUGCACUGCGAGCUGAGGGUGUGCCUGCCCGGCCAGCCAGGAUGUGAGCAGGACUGCUUGGGAAGUGUGGAGCCCCUUGCCCAGCCCAGUGACAGGACCAGCCAUGGAAACCUGCACAGGCUGGUCUCCCUCGGGCCCGUCUGGAGGAUGGACAACAGGUUUCUGUACAAGGCAGAGGAAGGUGCUGCUCCUGCCGCGCUGCUGCCCAUCCUGCUGGGGGCCCUGGCGGGCUGUGCUGUCCUGGGCGCUGCUUUCAUGGGGCUGUGGCUGCACCAGCGGCACAGAGCCAAGCCCAGCCGUCAUCCCCUGCCUGGAGAAGUCCCCGGGCUGUGAUCCCAGCAGCUGAACUGCUGCUGCAGCUCCCCCGGCCGCCAGAGAAGCAGCUGCGUUUGCUUUGCUUCUGUAGAGCUCC